Molecule: long non-coding RNA, 951 nt
Filed under: Cyanistes caeruleus (blue tit)
Lineage: Eukaryota; Metazoa; Chordata; Aves; Passeriformes; Paridae
Description: lncRNA (ENSCCEG00000022739.1)
Source: RNAcentral
CUCAUAUUGGUUUUACCUUUUCUGUUAUUUGGGUUUCACAUAUUUGUUUACUUUUUCUCCUGUAGCCAAUGAACAGAACAAGUGUCUGAUUAUCAGAGGUCUGAUUCCAUUCAGUGGGCAAGUGUUACAGUCAGUGCUCUCUGUUCCUCCUCUUGAGUAUGCUGCGCUGUGUAUAGAUGGAACUGGGUAAAAUACCUCUUGUGUAUCCCCUGGAAUCAGCCCAAGGUAGUUUUGCCAAUGCAGUGUCUCUGAGUCAGUACCAUCUUUCAUAUUUUGAUGUUUCUGUGAUGAGAUUUUUUUUUGCUUACCCAGUAUCUUGAUAAUGAGGUUUAUUGACUGUCCAGAUAGAAGCACCUUGCCACCUGUACCAAAGAAUUUUCAAGAAAGUCUUUACAACCCCCCAGGAAACCUGUUCAGGAACUCCUGAAGAUGCUUGGAAGAAUUUGUUGCAUUUCUGGCCCCAGAGGCUGUUAUGGAGAACACCAGAUGAUGUGCAGUGAGGGUAAUUACCAUCGCCCACGCCAGCGCUCGGGAUCGGACGGCGAGCGAGGCAAAGGUCAGCUCCUGGCAGAAUCUCCACGCGGAUACCUGGGCUGCCCCGGGCUGCAGACUGGCGUUUGUCUUUCCUGCCGGCAGCACAGUGGUCACAGUGUGUAGUGUGCUGAAGUAGCAUUAUCUUCACUUCACUGAUAAGAAGAUUUACAUCCACACAAAGCCAGACUGGAAGAUCUGGGAUAAGGACUGGGCUCAGAGCUCCAGAUGUGGCAAUAACCAGCUGCCUGCUUACAGUGGUAGCUCAAAUGGAUCUGUCUCACCCCAGAGUGACCCUGAAGGUCAGGCUUGGAUUCCCUUAUUACAGGCACCUUUUUGUUUCAGCUUUGGCUAAACCUCACUGCAUGUGGGGGGUUGUAUUGGCCCUAGCUAAAGGCUACGCUUCAUUUGAGAUAACAG